Molecule: ribosomal RNA, 253 nt
Filed under: uncultured bacterium
Lineage: Bacteria
Description: partial 16S ribosomal RNA
Rfam family: Bacterial small subunit ribosomal RNA
Source: RNAcentral
UACGUAGGGCGCGAGCGUUGUCCGGAUUUAUUGGGCGUAAAGAGCUCGUAGGCGGCUUGUCGCGUCGUUCGUGAAAACUUGGGGCUCAACCCCAAGCUUGCGGUCGAUACGGGCAGGCUAGAGUUCGGUAGGGGAGACUGGAAUUCCUGGUGUAGCGGUGAAAUGCGCAGAUAUCAGGAGGAACACCGGUGGCGAAGGCGGGUCUCUGGGCCGAUACUGACGCUGAGGAGCGAAAGCGUGGGGAGCGAACAGG